GACGAACGCUGGCGGCGUGCUUAACACAUGCCAGUCGAACGAAGAGCGACGGAAGCUUGCUUCUAUCAAUCUUAGUGGCGAACGGGUGAGUAACGCGUAAUCAACCUGCCCUUCAGAGGGGGACAACAGUUGGAAACGACUGCUAAUACCGCAUACGAUCUAACCUCGGCAUCGAGGAUAGAUGAAAGGUGGCCUCUACAUGUAAGCUAUCACUGAAGGAGGGGAUUGCGUCUGUUGGGGUCGUUGGAGGGGUAAGGGCCCAACAAGGAGAGGUUGAGUAGCCGGUAGGAGAGGAUGAGCAGCCACAUUGAGACGGUGACACGGCCCAGACUGCUACAGGAAGCAGCCGUGGGGAAACGGCCGCAAUCGGCGAGAGACAGACGGCGCAACGCCGCGUGAGUGAUGACGGCCGUCGGGUUGUAGAGCACGGUUAUUCGGGACGAAAGGCCUUCUUGCUAAUAGUGAGAAGGAUUGACGGUACCGGAAUAGAAAGCCACGGCUAACUACGUG
This 510-nucleotide ribosomal RNA is filed under the name uncultured bacterium. RNAcentral describes it as "partial 16S ribosomal RNA". It matches the Rfam family "Bacterial small subunit ribosomal RNA", at positions 28 to 507 of the family's 1533-position model. The record is from RNAcentral.